UUAUGCCUCCGGCCGUCCAUCGUUACCCCACGCGCGAGGUAAGUUUUUCCCCUUUCCUUACGGUGACAAAAAACAUCAUUUUCUGUUCAUGGGAUUAGGACCUAGCCCACUCCGCCAUCUCCCCAGAUCCUAUUCCGCGACUAACAUGCGGCAUGGUAGUGAGUGGCAGGCGUGAGCGCGACGGCUCGGUGGUCGGCGCGGGGAGCGGCGGUUGACCCGGUAGGGGAGCGACGGCGUGCUGCUCGAUGGGCUAACUCGGCGGCAAUAUCAUUGACCACGGCGGCAAGGUGAGCGGGGCGGGGCCUCGGUGUUGGGAAGCAUGGCGUGUGGUGGUCGGCUGGCCAUGGCGGCGGUUAAAUUGGUGGUCGCGGCUGCACUUGUUAGAUCGUACGUGCUCUCCUCCAGCCAUGGCUUCUUGCCCCCGUACGCUCUGAUAACUUAUAUCUCCGGCCAAAAGCUCACCUUGAUGUCCUCACGGACUGGAGAUCCAUGACUAAGAGCUCUCCUCAAUGUAUGCAGGUACUGCCCAG
RNAcentral lists this ribosomal RNA (530 nucleotides) under Triticum aestivum (bread wheat). RNAcentral describes it as "partial small subunit ribosomal RNA". Lineage: Eukaryota; Viridiplantae; Streptophyta; Magnoliopsida; Poales; Poaceae. The record is from RNAcentral.